RNAcentral lists this ribosomal RNA (466 nucleotides) under uncultured bacterium. Its description in RNAcentral is "bacterial SSU rRNA". It matches the Rfam family "Bacterial small subunit ribosomal RNA", at positions 329 to 793 of the family's 1533-position model. The record is from RNAcentral.
GCCCAGACUCCUACGGGAGGCAGCAGUGAGGAAUAUUGGUCAAUGGCCGAGAGGCUGAACCAGCCAAGUCGCGUGAGGGAAGACGGCCCUACGGGUUGUAAACCUCUUUUGUCAGGGAGCAAAGUCACCCACGUGUGGGUGUUGGAGAGUACCCGGAGAAAAAGCAUCGGCUAACUCCGUGCCAGCAGCCGCGGUAAUACGGAGGAUGCGAGCGUUAUCCGGAUUUAUUGGGUUUAAAGGGUGCGUAGGCGGACGCUUAAGUCAGCGGUAAAAUUGCGGGGCUCAACCUCGUCGAGCCGUUGAAACUGGGUGCCUUGAGUGGGCGAGAAGUACGCGGAAUGCGUGGUGUAGCGGUGAAAUGCAUAGAUAUCACGCAGAACUCCGAUUGCGAAGGCAGCAUACCGGCGCCCAACUGACGCUGAAGCACGAAAGCGUGGGUAUCGAACAGGAUUAGAUACCCCGGUAC